RNAcentral lists this long non-coding RNA (959 nucleotides) under Callithrix jacchus (white-tufted-ear marmoset). RNAcentral describes it as "lncRNA (ENSCJAG00000084290.1)". Lineage: Eukaryota; Metazoa; Chordata; Mammalia; Primates; Cebidae. The record is from RNAcentral.
ACAAAGUUUCCCAGAAGGCCAUGUAUGCUCUGAAUCAGCAGCCAAUAUAUGGUACUAUUUCUCCCAUACCCAGGAUUCAUGGGUCCAGGAAUCAGGGGUAGAAGUGAAAGUGGCACCGCUCACCAUCACCCCUAGUGAUCCACUAGCAAAAUACUUGCUUCCUGCUCCUGUGACAUUACAUUCUGCCAGCCUGGAAGUCUUAGUUACAGAGAGAGGAAUGCUGCCACCAGGAGACAGAACAACAAUUCCAUUAAAGUGGAAGUUAAGAUUGCCACCUCGACACUUUGAGCUCCUCCUACCUUUAAGUCAAUAGGCUAAGAAGGGAGUUAUAGUGUUGACUGGGGUGACUGACCUGAACUAUCAAGAUGAAAUCAGUCUACUACUCCACAAUGAAGGGAGAAAAAAGGGAGACCAAGGGAGACACAACACAUCUCUCUUCCAAAAGGCCAGGCCAGAUCACUGAUAAAAGCAGCGUUUUUCCUGACAAUUACGUGGUGAGUCAUACCUAUAGCGUCUUAUCUUUCCUUUUGUUUAUCUUUCUUCUGUUGAUGACUUUUUAGAUUUGCUUUGCUUUGGGGACUGCAGCAGAAUCUAUUGGUACCUGCAUUCGUUUGCUAGGAUUGCCGUGAUGAAUGCCACAGACUUGGUGGCUGAAGCAACAGAAAUGUGUUUUCUCAUCAUUCUGCAGGCUAGAAAUCCAAGAUCAAUGUGUCAGCAUGGUUGGUUUCUUCUGAGGUCUUUCUCCUUGGCUGUAUAUUAGUCCAUUUUUACGCUGCUGAUGAAGACAUACCUGACACUGGGUAAUUUAUAAAGAAAAAGAGGUUUAAUGGACCCAGUUCCAUGUGGCUGAGGAGCCUUCACGUGGCAGAAGGCGAGGAAAGAACAAAGGCACAUCUUAAAUGGCAGCAUAUAAGAGACAAUGAAAUGCAAGCAAAAGGGGAAACCCCUUAUAAAACCAU